UACGGAAGGCAGCAGUGGGGAAUAUUGCACAAUGGGCGAAAGCCUGAUGCAGCUAUGCCGCGUGUAUGAAGAAGGCCUUAGGGUUGUAAAGUACUUUCAUCGGGGAGGAAAAACAAAACUAAUAAUUUUAUUUCUUGACGUUACCCGAAAAAGAAGCACCGGCUAACUCCGUGCCGGCAGCCGCGGUAAUACGGAGGGUGCUAGCGUUAAUCAGAAUUACUGGGCGUAAAGAGCACGUAGGUGGUUUUUUUAAGUUCAGAUGUGAAAUCCCUGGGCUUAACCUAGGAACUGCAUUUUGAAACUGAAAUACUAGAGUAUCGUAGAGGGAGGUAGAAUUCUAGGUGUAGCGGUGAAAUGCGUAGAUAUCUGGAGGAAUACCUGUGGCGAAAGCGGCCUCCUAAACGAAUACUGACACUGAGGGUGCGAAAGCGUGGGGAGCAAACAGGGAUUAGAUACCCGU
This 460-nucleotide ribosomal RNA is filed under the name uncultured bacterium. Its description in RNAcentral is "bacterial SSU rRNA". It matches the Rfam family "Bacterial small subunit ribosomal RNA", at positions 340 to 789 of the family's 1533-position model. The record is from RNAcentral.